GACGUAGGAGGCGAGCGUUGUCCGGAUUCAUUGGGCGUAAAGAGCGCGCAGGCGGCUUGGUAAGUCGGAUGUGAAAACCCGCGGCUCAACUGUGGGCUUGCAGUCGAUACGGGCAGGCUAGAGUUCGGUAGGGGAGACUGGAAUUCCUGGUGUAGCGGUGAAAUGCGCAGAUAUCAGGAGGAACACCGGUGGCGAAGGCGGGUCUCUGGGCCGAUACUGACGCUGAGGAGCGAAAGCGUGGGGAGCGAACAGG
Molecule: ribosomal RNA, 253 nt
Filed under: uncultured bacterium
Lineage: Bacteria
Description: partial 16S ribosomal RNA
Rfam family: Bacterial small subunit ribosomal RNA
Source: RNAcentral